UAACAAGGAUUCCCCUAGUAACUGCGAGUGAAGCGGGAAAAGCUCAAAUUUAAAAUCUGACAGUUUCACUGUCCGAGUUGUAAUCUGGAGAAGCAUUUUCCGUGUCGGACCGUGUACAAGUCUCUUGGAAUAGAGCRUCAUAGAGGGUGAGAAUCCCGUCCAUGACACGGACUACCGAUGCUUUGUGAUAUGCUCUCGAAGAGUCGAGUUGUUUGGGAAUGCAGCUCAAAAUGGGUGGUAAAUUCCAUCUAAAGCUAAAUAUUGGCGAGAGACCGAUAGCGAACAAGUACCGUGAGGGAAAGAUGAAAAGCACUUUGGAAAGAGAGUUAAACAGUACGUGAAAUUGUUGAAAGGGAAACGCUUGAAGUCAGUCGCGUUGAUUGAGACUCAGCCUUGCUUUGCAUGGUGUACUUCUCAGUUAACGGGUCAACAUCAAUUUCAGUUGGUGGAUAAAGGCAUUGGGAAUGUGGCACCUUCGGGUGUGUUAUAGACCUUUGUUGCAUACACUGACCGGGAUUGAGGAACGCAGCACGCCACUAAGGCCAGGGAUUCGUCCCAUGUAACGUGCUUAGGAUGUUGGCAUAAUGGCUUUAAGCGACCCGUCUUGAAACACGGACCAAGGAGUCUAACAUGCCUGCGAGUAUUAGGGUGGAAAACCCUUGUGCGUAAUGAAAGUGAAAGUUGGGACCUCUUGCGAGGGCACCGACGCCCGGCCCUGAAGUUUACUGACGGCGCUGCGGUAGAGCAUGUAUGUUGGGACCCGAAAGAUGGUGAACUAUGCCUGAAUAGGGUGAAGCCAGGGGAAACUCUGGUGGAGGCUCGUAGCGAUUCUGACGUGCAAAUCGAUCGUCAAAUUUGGG
This 860-nucleotide ribosomal RNA is filed under the name Xylodon ovisporus. Its description in RNAcentral is "partial large subunit ribosomal RNA". Lineage: Eukaryota; Fungi; Basidiomycota; Agaricomycetes; Hymenochaetales; Schizoporaceae. The record is from RNAcentral.